RNAcentral lists this ribosomal RNA (253 nucleotides) under uncultured bacterium. Its description in RNAcentral is "partial 16S ribosomal RNA". It matches the Rfam family "Bacterial small subunit ribosomal RNA", at positions 524 to 776 of the family's 1533-position model. The record is from RNAcentral.
UACGGGGGGGGCGAGCGUUGUUCGGAAUUACUGGGCGUAAAGGGCGCGUAGGCGGCCCGCUAAGUCGAACGUGAAAUCCCCGAGCUCAACUCGGGAACUGCGUCCGAUACUGGCGGGCUUGAAUCCGGGAGAGGGAUGCGGAAUUCCAGGUGUAGCGGUGAAAUGCGUAGAUAUCUGGAGGAACACCGGUGGCGAAGGCGGCAUCCUGGACCGGCAUUGACGCUGAGGCGCGAAAGCUAGGGGAGCAAACGGG